UUAACUUAUUUAUAGUUGACUCAGAGAUAUUAAAAAAACAGAGUUUUAUGGUCCGUCGGUGGACUACAAGGUAACUACAGGGUAACUACCGGGUAGGCCACCGAGGCAACAGAGGUAUGUUCACAUGGGUUUGGGAGUUUUACAACUCUAUAAUGAUCCCUCCGCUGGUUCACCAACGGAGA
This 182-nucleotide unclassified non-coding RNA is filed under the name uncultured fungus. Its description in RNAcentral is "sequence contains ITS1". Lineage: Eukaryota; Fungi. The record is from RNAcentral.